RNAcentral lists this ribosomal RNA (2931 nucleotides) under Escherichia coli. RNAcentral describes it as "bacterial LSU rRNA". It matches the Rfam family "Bacterial large subunit ribosomal RNA". The record is from RNAcentral. Lineage: Bacteria; Pseudomonadati; Pseudomonadota; Gammaproteobacteria; Enterobacterales; Enterobacteriaceae.
GGGUUGUGAGGUUAAGCGACUAAGCGUACACGGUGGAUGCCCUGGCAGUCAGAGGCGAUGAAGGACGUGCUAAUCUGCGAUAAGCGUCGGUAAGGUGAUAUGAACCGUUAUAACCGGCGAUUUCCGAAUGGGGAAACCCAGUGUGAUUCGUCACACUAUCAUUAACUGAAUCCAUAGGUUAAUGAGGCGAACCGGGGGAACUGAAACAUCUAAGUACCCCGAGGAAAAGAAAUCAACCGAGAUUCCCCCAGUAGCGGCGAGCGAACGGGGAGCAGCCCAGAGCCUGAAUCAGUGUGUGUGUUAGUGGAAGCGUCUGGAAAGGCGUGCGAUACAGGGUGACAGCCCCGUACACAAAAAUGCACAUGCUGUGAGCUCGAUGAGUAGGGCGGGACACGUGGUAUCCUGUCUGAAUAUGGGGGGACCAUCCUCCAAGGCUAAAUACUCCUGACUGACCGAUAGUGAACCAGUACCGUGAGGGAAAGGCGAAAAGAACCCCGGCGAGGGGAGUGAAAAAGAACCUGAAACCGUGUACGUACAAGCAGUGGGAGCACGCUUAGGCGUGUGACUGCGUACCUUUUGUAUAAUGGGUCAGCGACUUAUAUUCUGUAGCAAGGUUAACCGAAUAGGGGAGCCGAAGGGAAACCGAGUCUUAACUGGGCGUUAAGUUGCAGGGUAUAGACCCGAAACCCGGUGAUCUAGCCAUGGGCAGGUUGAAGGUUGGGUAACACUAACUGGAGGACCGAACCGACUAAUGUUGAAAAAUUAGCGGAUGACUUGUGGCUGGGGGUGAAAGGCCAAUCAAACCGGGAGAUAGCUGGUUCUCCCCGAAAGCUAUUUAGGUAGCGCCUCGUGAAUUCAUCUCCGGGGGUAGAGCACUGUUUCGGCAAGGGGGUCAUCCCGACUUACCAACCCGAUGCAAACUGCGAAUACCGGAGAAUGUUAUCACGGGAGACACACGGCGGGUGCUAACGUCCGUCGUGAAGAGGGAAACAACCCAGACCGCCAGCUAAGGUCCCAAAGUCAUGGUUAAGUGGGAAACGAUGUGGGAAGGCCCAGACAGCCAGGAUGUUGGCUUAGAAGCAGCCAUCAUUUAAAGAAAGCGUAAUAGCUCACUGGUCGAGUCGGCCUGCGCGGAAGAUGUAACGGGGCUAAACCAUGCACCGAAGCUGCGGCAGCGACGCUUAUGCGUUGUUGGGUAGGGGAGCGUUCUGUAAGCCUGUGAAGGUGUACUGUGAGGUAUGCUGGAGGUAUCAGAAGUGCGAAUGCUGACAUAAGUAACGAUAAAGCGGGUGAAAAGCCCGCUCGCCGGAAGACCAAGGGUUCCUGUCCAACGUUAAUCGGGGCAGGGUGAGUCGACCCCUAAGGCGAGGCCGAAAGGCGUAGUCGAUGGGAAACAGGUUAAUAUUCCUGUACUUGGUGUUACUGCGAAGGGGGGACGGAGAAGGCUAUGUUGGCCGGGCGACGGUUGUCCCGGUUUAAGCGUGUAGGCUGGUUUUCCAGGCAAAUCCGGAAAAUCAAGGCUGAGGCGUGAUGACGAGGCACUACGGUGCUGAAGCAACAAAUGCCCUGCUUCCAGGAAAAGCCUCUAAGCAUCAGGUAACAUCAAAUCGUACCCCAAACCGACACAGGUGGUCAGGUAGAGAAUACCAAGGCGCUUGAGAGAACUCGGGUGAAGGAACUAGGCAAAAUGGUGCCGUAACUUCGGGAGAAGGCACGCUGAUAUGUAGGUGAAGUCCCUCGCGGAUGGAGCUGAAAUCAGUCGAAGAUACCAGCUGGCUGCAACUGUUUAUUAAAAACACAGCACUGUGCAAACACGAAAGUGGACGUAUACGGUGUGACGCCUGCCCGGUGCCGGAAGGUUAAUUGAUGGGGUCAGCGCAAGCGAAGCUCUUGAUCGAAGCCCCGGUAAACGGCGGCCGUAACUAUAACGGUCCUAAGGUAGCGAAAUUCCUUGUCGGGUAAGUUCCGACCUGCACGAAUGGCGUAAUGAUGGCCAGGCUGUCUCCACCCGAGACUCAGUGAAAUUGAACUCGCUGUGAAGAUGCAGUGUACCCGCGGCAAGACGGAAAGACCCCGUGAACCUUUACUAUAGCUUGACACUGAACAUUGAGCCUUGAUGUGUAGGAUAGGUGGGAGGCUUUGAAGUGUGGACGCCAGUCUGCAUGGAGCCGACCUUGAAAUACCACCCUUUAAUGUUUGAUGUUCUAACGUUGACCCGUAAUCCGGGUUGCGGACAGUGUCUGGUGGGUAGUUUGACUGGGGCGGUCUCCUCCUAAAGAGUAACGGAGGAGCACGAAGGUUGGCUAAUCCUGGUCGGACAUCAGGAGGUUAGUGCAAUGGCAUAAGCCAGCUUGACUGCGAGCGUGACGGCGCGAGCAGGUGCGAAAGCAGGUCAUAGUGAUCCGGUGGUUCUGAAUGGAAGGGCCAUCGCUCAACGGAUAAAAGGUACUCCGGGGAUAACAGGCUGAUACCGCCCAAGAGUUCAUAUCGACGGCGGUGUUUGGCACCUCGAUGUCGGCUCAUCACAUCCUGGGGCUGAAGUAGGUCCCAAGGGUAUGGCUGUUCGCCAUUUAAAGUGGUACGCGAGCUGGGUUUAGAACGUCGUGAGACAGUUCGGUCCCUAUCUGCCGUGGGCGCUGGAGAACUGAGGGGGGCUGCUCCUAGUACGAGAGGACCGGAGUGGACGCAUCACUGGUGUUCGGGUUGUCAUGCCAAUGGCACUGCCCGGUAGCUAAAUGCGGAAGAGAUAAGUGCUGAAAGCAUCUAAGCACGAAACUUGCCCCGAGAUGAGUUCUCCCUGACUCCUUGAGAGUCCUGAAGGAACGUUGAAGACGACGACGUUGAUAGGCCGGGUGUGUAAGCGCAGCGAUGCGUUGAGCUAACCGGUACUAAUGAACCGUGAGGCUUAACCUUACAACGCCGAAGGUGUUU